Molecule: transfer RNA, 73 nt
Filed under: Cytophagales bacterium
Lineage: Bacteria; Pseudomonadati; Bacteroidota; Cytophagia; Cytophagales
Description: tRNA-Phe
Rfam family: tRNA
About the family: Transfer RNA (tRNA) molecules are approximately 80 nucleotides in length. Their secondary structure includes four short double-helical elements and three loops (D, anti-codon, and T loops).
Source: RNAcentral
GGUUUCGUAGCUCAGUUGGUAGAGCAUCGGACUGAAAAUCCGUGUGUCGUUGGUUCAAGUCCAAUCGAAACCA